Molecule: transfer RNA, 80 nt
Filed under: Cupriavidus alkaliphilus
Lineage: Bacteria; Pseudomonadati; Pseudomonadota; Betaproteobacteria; Burkholderiales; Burkholderiaceae
Description: tRNA-Val
Source: RNAcentral
GGUGUUGUAACUCUUUGAUUUUAAAAGAGAUUAUAUCCCCUUACAAGGCGUAGGUCGGGGGUUCGAGCCCCUCAGCACCC